GGUCAUUUCUUGGGGUAAUUUUGGGUCAGUUUCUGGUCAUUUUUUGGGGUGCUUUGGCUGACUUUUGGGUCAUGUUUUGGGGAGAUUUGUGUGAGUUCUGGGUCACUUUCUGGGGUUAUUUUUGGUCAGUUUCUGGUCAUUUUUUGGGGAGAUUUGUUUGAGUUCUGGGUCAUUUUUUGGGGUAAUUUUGGGUCAGUUUCUGGUCAUUUUUUGUGGAGAUUUGGGUGAGUUUUGGUUCAUUUUUGUGGGUAAUUUUGGGUCAUUGUUGUGUCAUUUUUGGGGGAGAUUUUGGUGAGUUCUGGUCAUUUUUUGGGGUAAUUUUGGGUCAUUUUCUGGUCAUUUUUUUGGGGAGAUUUGGGUGAAUUUCUGGCCAUUUUUUGGGGAGAUUUGUGUGAGUUUUGGGACAUUUUUGGUGGUAAUUUUGGGUCAGUUUCUGGCCAUUUUUUGGGGAGAUUUGUGUGAAUUUUGGGUCAUUUUUUGGGGUAAUUUUGGGUCAGUGUUGUGUCAUUUUUUGUGGAGAUUUGGGUGAGUUUUGGGUCAUUUUUUGGGGAGAUUUGGGUGAGUUUCUGGACCAUUGUUUGGGAUAAUUUUUGGUCAGUUUCUGGUAAAUUUUGGGGGAGAUUUUGCUGAGUUUUGGGUCAUUUUUUGGGGUAAUUUUGGGUCAGUGUUGUGUCAUUUUUUGGGGCGAUUUUUUUUAGUUUCUGGUCAUUUUUGGGGGUAAUUUUGUGUCAGUUUCUGGUCAUUUUUUGUGGAGAUUUUGGUGAGUGUCUGGUCAUUUUUUGGGGUAAUUUUGGGUCAGUAUUGAGUCAUUUUUUGGGGUAAUUUUGGGUCAGUGUUGUGUCAUUUUUUGGGGAGAUUUGGGUGAGUUUUGGGUCAUUUUUUGGGGAGAUUUUGGUGAGUUUCUGGUCAUUUUUUUGGGGAGAUUUUGGUGAGUUCUGGGUCAUUUUUGGGGUAAUUUUGGGUCAUUUUCUGGUCAUUUUUUGGAGAGAUUUGGGCCAGUUUCUGGUCAUUUUUUGGGGAGAUUUGUGUGAGUUUUGGGUCAUUUUUUGGGGUAAUUUUGUGUGAGUUUCUGGUCAUUUUUUGGGGAGAUUUAGGUGAAUUUCUGGCCAUUUUUUUGGGAGAUUUGGUGAGUUUUGUGUCAUUUUUGGGGGUAAUUUUGGGUCAGUGUUGUGACUUUUUUUAGGGAGAUUUGGGUGAGUUCUGGGUCAUUUUUGGGAGUAAUUUUGGGUCAGUUCCUGGGUCAUUGUUUGGGGUAAUUUUGGGUCAGUUUCUGGUCAUUUUUCUGGGAGAUUUGUGUGAAAUUCUGGUCAUUUUUGGGGAAGAUUUGGGACAGUUUUUGGUCAUUUUUUUGGGUGAUUUGGGUGAGUUUCUGGUCAUUUUUUGGGG
Pseudopipra pipra is the source of this 1386-nucleotide long non-coding RNA. RefSeq lists it as uncharacterized. The record is from RefSeq and is a predicted model, not a curated record. The transcript is spliced from 3 exons. NCBI's taxonomy places the organism in Eukaryota, Metazoa, Chordata, Aves, Passeriformes, Pipridae.